GUAUGGCAGGAUAAGUUUUUGAUUUAUCUGUUACCGUGUUUGUUGGAAUAUCUUAUUGUAAUAUAUUUGUGAUUUUCAGUUGCCCUGAAUUUCUCGCUUGUAGACACAUGAAUACAUGCAUAUGUGCACACCCCUUCAUGGACCUCUCAGGUUCUUCCAUUUGCACUGCAUUCUGUAGUUGCUUUUUUAAGGGUAUAGAGUUGGAUGUCAAAUACGAAUAAUGUUGUUUAUGCCCUGAAAGUCACUGUGUUGCAACCGGUCAGUCUUGUGCAUUUUCUGAUUAUUCUAUUAUCCCAUUUGGAAUAGAAAAAAAAGCUAUGUUCUGAUGACUUAUGAUUGAGAUGUGUUAAUAUGUGUUUUAGGUAUUUACUAAGUAUCUGAAUUUCUUUGCAAACUGAAGUUUUUAUUUUCAAAUUUUAGACUAAGAAGAAAGGAUACAUAUGGGAGAGUAUAGGAAAAGUUCAACUACAAGUGCUGGUUGCAAUAUUUUGUCUUCGGUUUUGGUUUAAUUUUUAAAACUGUUCAACGUUCCUUUCAUUCCUAUUUCUAUUAGAACGCCCUCUCAUGGCACGUUAUUAAUGGAUCAGAGAUCAGGCUUGGCCAUCAUGUGGAGUUAUGGUCUUAUAGUCAAAGAGGCAUGUAUUUACCAGAAUUGUGGAUGGUGUCUGACCAUUGAGACUGAUUUGACUUUUACCAAUUUGAUAAACAUUUCUGUUUGGUCCAUUCAACUUUUCAUAUUACACUUAAUCAAUCAGACAAGGACAUUGACAUGCUUUGAUAUCCAUCAUGGUUUUGACUUGUGAAACGCCAAAGAUGAUGGCCUCCAAACAGGAUGAAAAUAUAAUCUGUGCCAUGUUUUCUGACAUGCAUACAGGGAUAUUCAGAAAUGCAAAAUGUUCGAUUUGUUCUUGCUAUCUUGCGUUUUUUUGCCUUUCUCUUGAUUUUGUUAUUUGUGUGAUGAAUUACCAGAGAAACUCUACUUGAUUGAUUUUGAGUACGGGUCAUACAAUUACAGAGGCUAUGACAUUGGAAAUCACUUCAGUGAAUAUGCAGGCUACGAUUGUGACUAUAGUUUGUAUGUGUCUAUCCUAUUUUUCUAUUAGCUGUCCUCUUCUUCACAACCACGGUGAAGACAUAGUUCACAAUUUAUUAAUCUCUUGAAUUUUGAAUUUGGUGUUAUGUAGAUACCCAAAUAAAGAUGAGCAAAAUCAUUUCUUCAGGCAUUAUUUACGACCUGACAAACCAGAAGAGGUAUGUGAGUAGCAAGCUUAUACUUUUGCGUCAC
Molecule: long non-coding RNA, 1285 nt
Filed under: Citrus maxima (pomelo)
Lineage: Eukaryota; Viridiplantae; Streptophyta; Magnoliopsida; Sapindales; Rutaceae
Description: long non-coding RNA (CMAX_LNC001781)
Source: RNAcentral